AAGACUAUAGACCUGCGGAGUACCUGCGGAAGGAUCAUUAUUGAAGCAUAUAUAUAGCAUUUGGAUUAACAGUCUAAAAGCUAUUUAUCUUCUACAAACCCACUGUGAAAAUAAGGAAUUGGAGAAAUCCAUUUUUCUGAAUAUUAUCGGACGGUAAUAGCACUUUAUUGUGUGUAUUAUUCGGUCGAGGACGUGCUGCUUUGUUGUGGUCGUCCGAAUUACCUUUUUUAUUAAAUGCAA
This 240-nucleotide unclassified non-coding RNA is filed under the name soil metagenome. RNAcentral's name for it is "partial contains 5.8S ribosomal RNA, internal transcribed spacer 2, and large subunit ribosomal RNA". The record is from RNAcentral.